AGCGAACGCUGGCGGCGUACUUAACACAUGCAAGUCGAACGAGGUCCGUACCGUGAGCAAUCACGGUGGGGCCGAGUGGCGUACGGGUGAGUAACACGUGGGCAACCUGCCCUGGAGCCUGGGAUACCCUCUCGAAAGGGAGGCUAAUACCGGAUACGCUCCCCGGGUCGCGAGACUGGGGGGAGGAAGGUGGCGCAAGCGACCGCUCGAGGAGGGGCUCGCGGCCUAUCAGCUAGUUGGGGGGUGACGGCCCACCAAGGCGAUGACGGGUAGCUGGUCUGGGGAGGACGACCAGGCCCACACGGGGACUGAGACACGGCCCCGACUCCUACGGGAGGCAGCAGUGGGGAAUUUUCCGCAAUGGGCGCAAGCCUGACGGAGUGACGCCGC
Molecule: ribosomal RNA, 390 nt
Filed under: uncultured bacterium
Lineage: Bacteria
Description: bacterial SSU rRNA
Rfam family: Bacterial small subunit ribosomal RNA
Source: RNAcentral